UAAGAGAAGGUUUAAGCCGUGCAUGUCUAAGUAUUUUAUACAAUGAAACUGCGAAUGGCUCAUUAAAUCAGUUAUCGUUUAUUUGAUAGUACCUUUACUACAUGGUCAUAACCGUGGUAAUUCUAGGGAUAAUACAUACUAAAAGCCCCGACUGUUGGAUGCAUUUAUUAGAUAAAAAACCAAUUCUCUUCGGAGAACUUGGAUAAUUCAUAAUAGCUUUUCGAAUCGCAUGGCUUCAUUGCCGGCGAUGGUUCAUUCAAAUUUCUACCCUAUCAACUUUCCAUGGUAGGAUAGUGGCCUACCAUGGUUUCAACGGGUAGCGGGGAAUUAGGGUUCCGGAGAGGGAGCGUGAGAAACGGCUAUCACGUCCAAGGAAAGCAGCAGGUGGGCCUUGUAAUUGGAAUGAAUACAAUGUAAAUGCCUUAACGAGGAAUAGGACAAGUCUGGUGCCAGCAGCCGCGGUNNNNNNNNNNNNNNNNNNNNUUCAAUAGCGUAUAUUAAUGUUGCAAUUAGAAAGCCCGUAGUUGAACCUUGGGCGUAGUUGGCCGGUCCGCUUUUUGGCGAGUACUGGAUCCAACCGAGCCUUUCCUUCUGGCUAACCUUCUGUCUUUCACGGGGCGGUUGGCGAACCAGGAAAUUUACCUUGAGAAAAUUAGAGUGUUCAAAGCGGGCCUAUAGCUCGAAUAUGUUUGCAUGGAAUAAUAGAAUAGGACGUUAUGGUUCUAUUUGUUUCUAGGACCAUCGUAAUGAUUAAUAGGGACGUUCGGGGGCAUCAGUAUUCAGUUGUCAGAGGUGAGAUUCUUGUAUUUACUGAAGACUUACUGCGAAAGCAUUCGCAAGGACGUUCUCAUUAAUCAAGAACGAAAGUUGGGGAUCGAAGAUGUUCAGAUACCGUCGUAGUCUUAACCAUAAACUAUGCCGACUAGGGAUCGGGUUCUUUUAUUGACACACUCGGCACCUUACGAGAAAUAAAAGUCUUUGGGUUCUGGAAUUGACGGAAGAGCACCACCAGGAGUGGAGCCUGCGGCUUAAUUUGACUCAACACGGGGAAACUCACCAGAUCCGGACACAAUAAGGAUUGACAGAUUAAGAGCUCUUUCUUGAUUUUGUGGGCGGUGGUGCAUGGCCGUUCUUUCUGUCUGCUUGAUUGUGAUAACGAACGAGACCUUAACCUACUAAAUAGUACUAGUUUUGCUGGACUUCUUAGAGGGACUAUCUAUUUCAAGUAGAUGGAAGUUUGAGGCAAUAGCAUGUCGAAAGAUUUAGAUUAAGUAGCAGCUUUAGGGAAAUGUAACACAUUAUUUAUCAGGGAAACUAUUACGAAAUAUCACCUGAAUAUCUUGGAAGAGAACAAACCAUGAGUGCAAACUACACAGCUCAAGCUGCUCCAGUUCCUCACACGGUCAAAACAUUCUGAUGAAAGGAAU
RNAcentral lists this ribosomal RNA (1427 nucleotides) under Citeromyces siamensis. Its description in RNAcentral is "SSU rRNA". It matches the Rfam family "Eukaryotic small subunit ribosomal RNA", at positions 33 to 1611 of the family's 1831-position model. Lineage: Eukaryota; Fungi; Ascomycota; Pichiomycetes; Pichiales; Pichiaceae. The record is from RNAcentral.